GAUGAACGCUGGCGGCGUGCCUAAUACAUGCAAGUCGAGCGAACGGACGAGAAGCUUGCUUCUAUGAUGUUAGCGGCGGACGGGAGAGUAACACGUGGAUAACCUACCUAUAAGACUGGGAUAACUUCGGGAAACCGUAGCUAAUACCGGAUAAUAUUUUGAACCGCAUGGUUCAAAAGUGAAAGACGGUCUUGCUGUCACUUAUAGAUGGAUCCGCGCUGCAUUAGCUAGUUGGUAAGGUAACGGCUUACCAAGGCAACGAUGCAUAGCCGACCUGAGAGGGUGAUCGGCCACACUGGAACUGAGACACGGUCCAGACUCCUACGGGAGGCAGCAGUAGGGAAUCUUCCGCAAUGGGCGAAAGCCUGACGGAGCAACGCCGCGUGAGUGAUGAAGGUCUUCGGAUCGUAAAACUCUGUUAUUAGGGAAGAACAUAUGUGUAAGUAACUGUGCACAUCUUGACGGUACCUAAUCAGAAAGCCACGGCUAACUACGUG
This 497-nucleotide ribosomal RNA is filed under the name uncultured bacterium. RNAcentral's name for it is "partial 16S ribosomal RNA". It matches the Rfam family "Bacterial small subunit ribosomal RNA", at positions 28 to 507 of the family's 1533-position model. The record is from RNAcentral.